Molecule: transfer RNA, 92 nt
Filed under: Marasmius sp. AFHP31
Lineage: Eukaryota; Fungi; Basidiomycota; Agaricomycetes; Agaricales; Marasmiaceae
Description: tRNA-Asp
Source: RNAcentral
UCCCUGGUAGUAUAUCGGUUAGUACACGCGCCUGUCAUAAAACUGCUUCUAGUAGUACGCGCGAAAGCUGGGUUCGACUCCCAGCCAGGGAG